AUUGAACGCUGGCGGCAUGCUUUACACAUGCAAGUCGAACGGUAACAGGCCUUCGGGUGCUGACGAGUGGCGAACGGGUGAGUAAUGCAUCGGAACGUGCCCAGAGGUGGGGGAUAACGCAGCGAAAGCUGUGCUAAUACCGCAUGUGAUCUGAGGAUGAAAGCGGGGGACCAGGCAGCAAUGUUUGGCCUCGCGCCUUUGGAGCGGCCGAUGUCGGAUUAGGUAGUUGGUGGGGUAAAGGCCUACCAAGCCGACGAUCUGUAGCUGGUCUGAGAGGACGACCAGCCACACUGGGACUGAGACACGGCCCAGACUCCUGCGGGAGGCAGCAGUGGGGAAUUUUGGACAAUGGGCGCAAGCCUGAUCCAGCAAUGCCGCGUGCGGGAAGAAGGCCUUCGGGUUGUAAACCGCUUUUGUACGGAACGAAAAGGCUCUGGCUAAUACCUGGGGCUGAUGACGGUACCGUAAGAAUAAGCACCGGCUAACUACGUG
Molecule: ribosomal RNA, 492 nt
Filed under: uncultured bacterium
Lineage: Bacteria
Description: partial 16S ribosomal RNA
Rfam family: Bacterial small subunit ribosomal RNA
Source: RNAcentral